This 826-nucleotide ribosomal RNA is filed under the name uncultured Actinomycetes bacterium. Its description in RNAcentral is "bacterial SSU rRNA". It matches the Rfam family "Bacterial small subunit ribosomal RNA", at positions 64 to 865 of the family's 1533-position model. Lineage: Bacteria; Bacillati; Actinomycetota; Actinomycetes. The record is from RNAcentral.
GAACGCGAAAGCCCUUUCGGGGGUAAGUAGAGUGGCGUCCGGGUGAGUAACACGUGGGUAAUCUGCCUUCGGGUGGGGAAUAACCCAGGGAAACUUGGGCUAAUACCGCAUAAUGCAGCGGCACCUAAUGGUGAUUAGUUGUUAAAGCGGGGGAUCGCAAGACCUCGCGCCUGAAGAGGAGCCUGCGGCAGAUUAGCUAGUUGGUGAGGUAAUGGCUCACCAAGGCUGCGAUCUGUAGCUGGUCUGAGAGGACGGCCAGCCACACUGGCACUGACACACGGGCCAGACUCCUACGGGAGGCAGCAGUGGGGAAUUUUGGGCAAUGGGCGAAAGCCUGACCCAGCAACGCCGCGUGAGGGAGGAAAUCCUUCGGGAUGUAAACCUCACAAGCAAGGGAAGAGAGCUACGGGCUGAAUAAUCCCGUAGUGCGACGGUACCUUGCGUAAGCCACGGCUAACUACGUGCCAGCAGCCGCGGUAAUACGUAGGUGGCAAGCGUUGUUCGGAAUUAUUGGGCGUAAAGGGCGCGUAGGCGGCUUGUUAAGUCGGCUGUGAAAGCCCGGGGCUCAACCCCGGAGGGUCAGCCGAUACUGGCAGGCUAGAGUACGGAAGAGGUAGCUGGAAUUCCCGGUGUAGCGGUGAAAUGCGUAGAUUUCGGGAGGAACACCUGAGGCGAAGGCGGGCUACUGGGCCGAUACUGACGCUGAUGCGCGAAAAGCCAGGGGAGCGAACGGGAUUAGAUACCCCGGUAGUCCUGGCCCUAAACGAUGGACACUUGGUGUGUCGGGUAUUCCAGUCCCCGAUGUGCCGGAGCUAACGCGUUAAGU